This 237-nucleotide non-coding RNA is filed under the name Sphingomonas sp. RNAcentral also lists the same sequence under 1 other name. Lineage: Bacteria; Pseudomonadati; Pseudomonadota; Alphaproteobacteria; Sphingomonadales; Sphingomonadaceae. The record is from RNAcentral.
CUCCGACAAGAUCGCGCCGGUGCCCGUAAGGGCUUGAAUGGGAACGCGGUGAGGGAAGGGCGACCUUCCCGAAUCCGGGGCUGUCCCUGCAACUGUAAGCGGCGAGCGCGAUGCACAGGCUUCCCGUCAUGGGAAGCAGCCACUGGGCCGGCCGCUCCGAGGAGCGCGACGCCUGGGAAGGCGUGCAUCGAGCCGUGACCCGCGAGCCAGGAGACCUGCCGGCGCAGGGUCGCUCUU